AUACUUACCUGGCAGGGGAGAUGUCAUGAUCAAGUAGGUGGUUUUCCCAUUGCACUUAGGAUAUGCUGACCCCUGUGAUUUCCCCAAAUUUGGGAAACUCAGCUGCAUACUUUGGGGGGGGGCUGUGUCUGUGUUCUCCCCUG
This is a small nuclear RNA of Mesocricetus auratus (golden hamster), 143 nucleotides long. Its record names the gene U1. It matches the Rfam family "U1 spliceosomal RNA". Rfam says of the family: U1 is a small nuclear RNA (snRNA) component of the spliceosome (involved in pre-mRNA splicing). Its 5' end forms complementary base pairs with the 5' splice junction, thus defining the 5' donor site of an intron. There are significant differences in sequence and secondary structure between metazoan and yeast U1 snRNAs, the latter being much longer (568 nucleotides as compared to 164 nucleotides in human). The record is from Ensembl. Lineage: Eukaryota; Metazoa; Chordata; Mammalia; Rodentia; Cricetidae.